RNAcentral lists this long non-coding RNA (2037 nucleotides) under Astyanax mexicanus (Mexican tetra). Its description in RNAcentral is "lncRNA (ENSAMXG00005010067.1)". Lineage: Eukaryota; Metazoa; Chordata; Actinopteri; Characiformes; Acestrorhamphidae. The record is from RNAcentral.
CGCCCCCCUGCUCGCGAGGAAACAGCUGGAGAUCCGUGUUUUUGCUCCGGCUCGGAUCCCCGGACCCCCGCAGUAACCCUGGCCGCGCCCGCCGCCCCGCGCGCCCCGCUGCGGGAGGGCAUGGUGCGCUGUAUCGUGCCCGGCUGCAGCAGCUCCUGCGUGUCCGCGCGCUUCCACUGCUUCCCGCUGUACGACCGCGCGCUGUGUCGCAGUUGGCUGCGCGCGGUGCGGAGCCCGCGGUUCGGCGCGGACACGGAGCCGAGGGCGGUGGGCCAGCAGCGGCUGAAGGUCUGCAGCGAGCACUUCACCGCGGCGGAUUACAGCGGCAGCUACCUGAAGCAGGACGCCGUGCCCAGCGUCUUCCCCUGGACCGGGAUCCGGGCGGAGAUGCUCAGCCAGCCGGCGGAGGAGCAGCAGGAGCGGGAGGAGAGGGAGGAGGAGGAAACGUCUGACAAAGAAGAAAGUACAGGCCCGGUCCCUACCUGCUCUCAAAUAAAGGAGGAUCCAGCUCAGCAUGAAGUCAAGAUUCCUGAACCUACAGAAGACAUCAGCUUCUUUAAAAGUAGUGAGGUGCUGGUGAACACCCGCUGUUUGCUGGAGCUCUUUAAGUGCUGCUCGGUCUGUAUGGUGGAGUGCUGCGUCACCGUUGAGGGCACUGCCAAGCUGUUCGCGGUUAUCCAGGACUGCGAGAGCUGUGGGCACCACAGAGAGUGGAGGAGUCACCCCACCCCGACUGAAGAACCUGCGGAGACUUUCAGUACAGAACACACUACACACGAAGACCACGAGAAGCACUUUCCUGAAGAACACAUAGACCACAAAGAGGCCUUAGAUUUGUAUACUGCCUCGUUCCCAUUGGUAGAACUCGCACCAGGGCUUGAGGAGGAGGAGGAUAUCAAGACUGUGUUGGUGGUCCCUCAGCCGACUCGCCAGAGGACUAAAGAGGUGUCGAUGGAUAGAAAACGAACCAUAGUGACCCUGAGGAACGAGAAGAAGUCAAUCAGAGAAAUCGGUAAAAUAUUAGGCGUGUCCAAAUCAACUGUAGCUUAUGUUCUGAGGAAGAACGCAAGCACUGGGGACAUAAGUAAUAGGAAACGCACUGGAAGACCGAAAAAGACGACUGACGCGGACGACCAAAUAAUCCUUUCUAUAAUGAUGAAAAAUCCGCAAACGCCUAUCCAGCAGAUCCGGGACACUCUCAAGGAGGUAGGCAGGGAAGUGUCGAUGACGACCAUCCGCAGAAAACUGCAAAUGCUCAACCACAAGAUUGAAAGUGCAUUUUUAAAGAACGUUCAGAUGGCGGAGAAGCUUGCAUCUUCUUCACCAAAUUAGACAUAAUUAGAGUCAUAAUUACGGCUCUGUUAUAUGGUUACAUUGAAGAAAAUCCUUGUGUCUUUUGCCAACAAACGUCUCAACAAAUGUGCAUCAAAUGCAUGGGACGAGGUUUUGUCAGACAAAGGAUUCAAAUAACUGAAGUAAAAGAAAUGGAAGAUGUUCAUCAACAAGUUACAAAGGAUGAUGAAGCAUCCUGUAUUAGUUUCUAGCUGAUGAAGCUCACAGUAAUUAUUUAAUGUGUUUUAGAGGACAGUAGUUCAUAUGUUUUAAUGUUACGAGGCCUUUUUGGACAUUUUGGAAAUGUUUGGGGAAAGUUACACAUGCUGAAAAUGACAGAAACCCAAUGGAAAAAAGAAAUGAUGGACAGCAAAGAUUAUUUAUUUCACUCCUAAUGAAGUCCUACUGAAGUGAAGCUUGAACUUGACACUACUGAAGUUAGUGUUGCAUUUUGGAUGGUUGCUGGUGUGGAGAAAUAUGAGGUCAUUGGAGGACAAUGACCGGUUCUCUAGCGGUACUGGAGAUUCAUAAGCUAAAUAGGUAUAUAGGUAGUUAUGUACACAUGUACACACACACACACACACACACACACACACACUUUACUUAAGGACACUCAACCUCAAACUGUGGACGUCUUGUGUAUCUUUCCAGCUCACACCCUAAUCAAUAUAAUAGUUGCACAAAAUAAAAGGUUAAAAAGAAACA